UAGCGGUACUGUUUCUCUUUUGGCAGAGGAAAGAGAAGGCAGCGGGAAACGAUGGAUGCGCAAGGUCAUCAGCAUCGCGAGUGUGAGUAUUACUGGUUGUUCUUCGUUUCAUCUCCAUGGAUAAUGGAUGUACAGAGUUAUCAACAUCGUGACUGUGGGAAGAAAGUAUAAAAACGAUGAGAAGAAGCCUGAUUUCAUCAACUGCAGUAAAAGAAGAGAUGAAACCCUAACCUCUAUAUUCAAAAUAGGUUACUGCUGUACAUCAAUUUUUCAUCUGGAUUCUACUGAUAUAGGAGGCAUUGGCCAUGAUUGCUGUCGCUAGAAUGGAUGCUAAAUCUUAUGUUGGAAGAUGGAUUUCUAAAGAGAUGGGUGGUCACUAUCACUGAGUAGUUUGAAAUGAUUUUCUUAUGUUUGGGUGGAUUCAGAUUUUGGUUUCAAAACCAGGGAAUUUGGAGUACCGUGUGAAGUUACGUGUGCCAGAGAUUGAAAUUAAGGUUGAAAAUUUGGGGUUCUGGGAAUGUAGCAUGUUCUUUACCAAUAAUAGUCUUAUCUCAGUGCAAUAAUAGGCUUAUCUCAGUGAAAUAACUUUUUUACUUGGAUUUUCAGGCUUAUCUCAGUGCAAUAAUAGUCUAACUGUAUGCAGAUGACUUCGAGCAAUCAGAAACAUGCUAUAACGUUUGUUCUCAGUGGAAUCUGGUGUGGUUUUGAGUACAAGCUGAAGCAGAUGGAGAAGAGAGUUAUGAGCUCAGCCUUGAACCGGAGUUGGAGAUGGAAUUGUCGAGUUGCUGUUCAGAAUUGGUGGUGGUCUCUGUUGUUGGGAGAUGGUGUUGUCUUGGUUAGAGUUUGAGCUGAGCAAGAGAUGCAGCUGCAGUUGGAGUUGCUGCUGUUGGUGGUAAAGGAGAGCUGAUGAACACAGAAGGAGGGGUUUCUGUUGUGUGCAUUGCCGAGAAGAAGGCAGUUUCUGGUGGUGGUUAUGGUGACUAAGAAGAGUAAGUGAUGAUAUAUAAUUGGAGCUGUAGAUGAAUUUCAAGGGUUUGUGCUGCUAGGAAUCAAUGAUGCUGUUGCAGUUGAAAUGGGUUUUUGCAGGAUGAGAUUGAAUUGGUAGUCUGUGGUCUAGUUGUGCAUUGCAGGGAAAGCUGAAAUGGAGUAUUGCAGAUGAGAGUGUUUCCAUGGGACUGUAGCUGCAGUUUCUGGUGGUGCUGUUGCUUUAUAGCUGCAAGAAUGGAGUCAGUGUGUGGUUGCAAAGGAACUGCAGGAGAUAGUGCUGAACUGCAGGAGAUGGUGCUGCAAGAACGGAGUCAGUGUGUGGAUGCUUGGUUGCAUUUCAUUACUUGACUUGAUUUUGAUUUUUGCUUGUAGGAAAACACUAUUAUCUACUGGAGAAAAUUUGUUGCGGAGUAUUUUGCUCCACGUGCUACGAGAAGGUGGUGUUUGUCAAUGUAUGAUAAUGUUGGAGUUCAUGCAUUGGGUGUUUGUCAAUCUAAACAGUUCUUAAGCUCAAAACUUUCCAAAACCUACAAGAUUUAUUGUUGAGAAUUCGUAUCGUGAAAUAUAGAUUACAAGACUCGUUCUUGUUGGAAUUUAUUUUA
This is a long non-coding RNA of Papaver somniferum (opium poppy), 1589 nucleotides long. RefSeq lists it as uncharacterized. The transcript has 3 exons. Lineage: Eukaryota; Viridiplantae; Streptophyta; Magnoliopsida; Ranunculales; Papaveraceae. The record is from RefSeq and is a predicted model, not a curated record.